ACGAACGCUGGCGGCGUGCUUAACACAUGCAAGUCGAACGGAAAGGCCCUGCUUUUGUGGGGUGCUCGAGUGGCGAACGGGUGAGUAACACGUGAGUAACCUGCCCUUGACUUUGGGAUAACUUCAGGAAACUGGGGCUAAUACCGGAUAGGAGCUCCUGCUGCAUGGUGGGGGUUGGAAAGUUUCGGCGGUUGGGGAUGGACUCGCGGCUUAUCAGUUUGUUGGUGGGGUAGUGGCUUACCAAGGCUUUGACGGGUAGCCGGCCUGAGAGGGUGACCGGCCACAUUGGGACUGAGAUACGGCCCAGACUCCUACGGGAGGCAGCAGUGGGGAAUAUUGCACAAUGGGCGGAAGCCUGAUGCAGCAACGCCGCGUGCGGGAUGACGGCCUUCGGGUUGUAAACCGCUUUCGCCUGUGACGAAGCGUGAGUGACGGUAAUGGGUAAAGAAGCACCGGCUAACUACGUG
This 467-nucleotide ribosomal RNA is filed under the name uncultured bacterium. RNAcentral's name for it is "partial 16S ribosomal RNA". It matches the Rfam family "Bacterial small subunit ribosomal RNA", at positions 29 to 507 of the family's 1533-position model. The record is from RNAcentral.